This 450-nucleotide ribosomal RNA is filed under the name uncultured bacterium. RNAcentral describes it as "partial 16S ribosomal RNA". It matches the Rfam family "Bacterial small subunit ribosomal RNA", at positions 354 to 796 of the family's 1533-position model. The record is from RNAcentral.
GUGGGGAAUAUUCCGCAAUGGGCGAAAGCCUGACGGAGCAACGCCGCGUGAGUGAUGACGGCCUUCGGGUUGUAAAGCUCUGUUAUAUGGGACGAACGGGCAUGGGGCGAAUACCCUCAUGCAGUGACGGUACCGUAAGAGAAAGCCACGGCUAACUACGUGCCAGCAGCCGCGGUAAUACGUAGGUGGCAAGCGUUGUCCGGAAUUAGUGGGCGUAACGGGCGUGUAGGCGGCCAGACAAGUCUGUCUUAAAAGUGCGGGGCUCAACCCCGUGAUGGGAUGGAAACUGUCGGGCUAGAGUGUCGGAGAGGAAAGCGGAAUUCCUAGUGUAGCGGUGAAAUGCGUAGAUAUUAGGAGGAACACCAGUGGCGAAAGCGGCUUUCUGGACGACAACUGACGCUGAGGCGCGAAAGCCAGGGGAGCAAACGGGAUUAGAAACCCCUGUAGUCC